ACGGAGGGUGCAAGCGUUGUUCGGAAUUAUUGGGCGUAAAGCGCGUGUAGGCGGGAUGGCAAGUCGGGUGUGAAAGCCCUCAGCUCAACUGAGGAAGUGCGCCCGAAACUACUGUUCUUGAGUAUCGGAGAGGGUGGCGGAAUUCCCGGUGUAGAGGUGAAAUUCGUAGAUAUCGGGAGGAACACCAGUGGCGAAGGCGGCCACCUGGCCGAAUACUGACGCUGAGACGCGAAAGCGUGGGGAGCAAACAGGA
This 253-nucleotide ribosomal RNA is filed under the name uncultured prokaryote. RNAcentral describes it as "partial 16S ribosomal RNA". It matches the Rfam family "Bacterial small subunit ribosomal RNA", at positions 525 to 777 of the family's 1533-position model. The record is from RNAcentral.